GAGUUGCAGAGUAUCUGAUCUACUUCCAAGGUUUUGGAUCAGAUUUAGGCAGUAGAUACCUUAAAAAUGUUUGAGAAAAAGGACAGUAGAGUGAAAAGUGCAGCUGCAACCAAUCUCUCAUUCCUGUAUUAUCUGAAUUGAAUGAUGCUGAUGUCAAGUCUGAAUCUCCAGAACUGUGAGCUAAAUUAACCUUUUCCUUUGUAAAAAACUCAGCCUCUAUUAUGACAUUGCAGCAACAGAAACAGACUAAUAAAUUUACUUUCAUUGCAUAUUAUAAAUUGCUGUAAUUACAAAAUACAUCAUACUGAUUAUAUCUAAAAAGUCAGAAAUCAAUUUUACUUUUUAAAUACUUUUGUAUUAUACUCAAAUAAAUUUAAUCUAUUAUUUAUAAGGUAUAGUAAGCUUGAACUCUAAUACACAGUAUAUCAUUAAAAAUUAAACCUUGUUCACCCUCUCAUUUGGUGUUCCCAUGACUAAGAGUUUAUGCUACCAACAGAAACUUUUGUAUUUCAGUAUAUACAAAGGUAGUCUCAGGAUCCACAAAAAAUAGUGGACCUGACACAAUGUUUCUUAGCUAAGGCCUUUACCAUAACACAUAAACAAAUUUAUAAAGGUUGAUUGUUUUGCUGCUUCGGUCAAAUUGUUUGCUUCCCAUAAAGAACUCCUUAGACCAAUGUCUUCAAGACAUCCCUUAUAUAUAACACCACAGGGAACCACUUCUGCACUCCCAAUUUGGUGUGUGUAUGUAUGUGCAUGUUCACUUUUUUGUUUUUUUGAAGUGGGGCCACUACAGAUUGGAAAGGCAUGCAAGGGUUGUUUGUUUCCCACAAACCAGUCAUCUUGCUGUGAGAAAAGGGAAGCUCCCAACUCAAGCUUCUGUAAAAAUGCACUGAUUGGCACUCUGCUGACUUGUUGAUCUUAAGCACAGCUAGCAGAAGCCUGAUUGUAAUUAUUCUUUUUCCUGCUCUCUCUGUAUAUAUCAGGUGCAGCAAGCAGGACUCUCAGGGAUGUGCUGUUUAGUAUCAAAACCCAACAGAGUUGGAGAGUUCUCCUUCCUCAUUCACUGGUAGGCAAGGAGAUACACUUAACAUGGCUAAGUUGUUUCCAAGCCAAGUCAAACAUGGCAGAGCUCAUGAUUGGAGACUAGCCAAGUGCUCAUAGUGGGUGGUCAAUGCACAUUUGUCUAUUUUAA
This is a long non-coding RNA of Sciurus carolinensis (gray squirrel), 1192 nucleotides long. RefSeq lists it as uncharacterized. Lineage: Eukaryota; Metazoa; Chordata; Mammalia; Rodentia; Sciuridae. The record is from RefSeq and is a predicted model, not a curated record. The transcript is spliced from 3 exons.